Molecule: ribosomal RNA, 412 nt
Filed under: uncultured eukaryote
Lineage: Eukaryota
Description: SSU rRNA
Rfam family: Eukaryotic small subunit ribosomal RNA
Source: RNAcentral
CCAGCAGCCGCGGUAAUUUCAGCUCCAAUACCGUCUAUUCAAGUUGUUGCAGUUAAAAAGCUCGUAGUUGAAUUUCUGGUAGGGUGCCAAUGUCCGCCGCCGUGCGUGCGCAGCGGCGCCCUUCCAUCCUUCUGUCAACGCUUCUUGGCAUUCGUUUGCUGGUAGCGGGCUCAGAUAUUUUACCUUGAGAAAAUUAGAGUGUUUCAGGCAGGCUAGGCCGGAAUACAUUAGCAUGGAAUAAUGGAAUAGGACUACGGUCUCUUUGUUGGUCUGAGGGGUUGAAGUAAUGAUUAAUAGGGAUAGUUGGGGGCAUUAGUACUUAACUGCCAGAGGUGAAAUUCUUGGAUUUGUUAAAGACUAACUUAUGCGAAAGCAUUUGCCAAGGAUGUUUUCAUUAAUCAAGAACGAAAGU